RNAcentral lists this long non-coding RNA (585 nucleotides) under Homo sapiens (human). Its description in RNAcentral is "HSALNT0298140". The record is from RNAcentral. Lineage: Eukaryota; Metazoa; Chordata; Mammalia; Primates; Hominidae.
AAAACUUCAGUUUAACGUUUCUGCAAUGCAAGCUUGUGAUUUAUGAUUACUCUCUAAGUGGAUAUCAGGAUUGUUAUGAAGACUUAAGGCCCAGUAUUUUUUAAUAGAAUACUCAUCUAGGAUGUAACAGUGAAGCUGAGUAAACUAUAACUGUUAAACUUAAGUUCCAGCUUUUCUCAAGUUAGUUAUAGGAUGUACUUAAGCAGUAAGUGUAUUUAGGUAAAAGCAGUUGAAUUAUGUUAAAUGUUGCCCUUUGCCAUGUUACAUUGAACACUGUUUGGUUGCAUGUUGAAAGACAUGCUUUUAUUUUUUUGUAAAACAAUAUAGGAACUGUGUCUACAAUUAAAAGUGAAACAUUUUGGCAUGUUUGUUAAUUCUAGUUUCAUUUAAUAAUCUGUAAGGCACGUAAGUUUAAGCUUUUUUUUUUUUAAGUUAAUGGGAAAAAUUUGAGACACAAUACCAAUACUUAGGAUUUUGGUCUUGGUGUUUGUAUGAAAUUCUGAGGCCCUGAUUUAAAUCUUUCAUUGUAUUGUGAUUUCCUUUUAGGUAUAUUGCGCUAAGUGAAACUUGUCAAAUAAAUCCUUU